Molecule: ribosomal RNA, 253 nt
Filed under: uncultured bacterium
Lineage: Bacteria
Description: partial 16S ribosomal RNA
Rfam family: Bacterial small subunit ribosomal RNA
Source: RNAcentral
UACGGGGGGUGCGAGCGUUGUCCGGAAUUAUUGGGCGUAAAGAGCUCGUAGGUGGCUUGUCGCGUCUGCCGUGAAAGCCCGUGGCUUAACUACGGGUCUGCGGUGGAUACGGGCAGGCUAGAGGCUGGUAGGGGCAAGCGGAAUUCCUGGUGUAGCGGUGAAAUGCGUUGAUAUCGAUAGGAACUCCGGUGGCGAAGGCGGCAUACUGGACCACAUCUGACGCUGAGGCGCGAAAGCCAGGGGAGCGAACGGG